GUGGAUUAGAUACCCUGGUAGUCCACGCCGUAAACGAUGGAUGCUAGUUGUUGUGGGUAUUGACCCCCGCAGUGACGCAGUUAACGCAUUAAGCAUCCCGCCUGGGGAGUACGGCCGCAAGGCUAAAACUCAAAGGAAUUGACGGGGGCCCGCACAAGCGGUGGAGCAUGUGGUUCAAUUCGACGCAACGCGAAGAACCUUACCUGGGUUAAAUCCAGCGGAACACUGCAGAGAUGUGGUGGUGCCCUUCGGGGAGCCGCUGAGAAGGUGCUGCACGGUCGUCGCCAGCU
This 290-nucleotide ribosomal RNA is filed under the name uncultured bacterium. RNAcentral describes it as "partial 16S ribosomal RNA". It matches the Rfam family "Bacterial small subunit ribosomal RNA", at positions 773 to 1060 of the family's 1533-position model. The record is from RNAcentral.